Molecule: ribosomal RNA, 335 nt
Filed under: uncultured bacterium
Lineage: Bacteria
Description: bacterial SSU rRNA
Rfam family: Bacterial small subunit ribosomal RNA
Source: RNAcentral
CAUGGCUCAGGAUGAACGCUAGCUACAGGCUUAACACAUGCAAGUCGAGGGGAAACGACAUUGAAGCUUGCUUCGAUGGGCGUCGACCGGCGCACGGGUGAGUAACGCGUAUCCAACCUGCCUCUGACUAAGGGAUAACCCGGCGAAAGUCGGACUAAUACCUUAUGAGGUUUUCUGCAGACAUCUAACGAAAACGAAAGAUUUAUCGGUCAGCGAUGGGGAUGCGUCUGAUUAGCUUGUUGGCGGGGUAACGGCCCACCAAGGCAACGAUCAGUAGGGGUUCUGAGAGGAAGGUCCCCCACAUUGGAACUGAGACACGGUCCAAACUCCUACGG